CCUACGGGAGGCAGCAGUGGGGAAUAUUGCACAAUGGGGGAAACCCUGAUGCAGCAACGCCGCGUGAGUGAAGAAGUAUUUCGGUAUGUAAAGCUCUAUCAGCAGGGAAGAAAAUGACAGUACCUGACUAAGAAGCCCCGGCUAACUACGUGCCAGCAGCCGCGGUAAUACGUAGGGGGCAAGCGUUAUCCGGAUUUACUGGGUGUAAAGGGAGCGUAGACGGCUGCGCAAGUCAGAAGUGAAAGCCCGGGGCUCAACCGCGGGACUGCUUUUGAUACUGUGUAGCUGGAGUGCAGGAGAGGUAAGUGGAAUUCCUAGUGUAGCGGUGAAAUGCGUAGAUAUUAGGAGGAACACCGGUGGCGAAGGCGGCUUACUGGACUGUAACUGACGUUGAGGCUCGAAAGCGUGGGGAGCAAACAGGAUUAGAUACCCCAGUAGUC
This 440-nucleotide ribosomal RNA is filed under the name uncultured bacterium. RNAcentral describes it as "partial 16S ribosomal RNA". It matches the Rfam family "Bacterial small subunit ribosomal RNA", at positions 338 to 795 of the family's 1533-position model. The record is from RNAcentral.